Molecule: ribosomal RNA, 434 nt
Filed under: uncultured bacterium
Lineage: Bacteria
Description: bacterial SSU rRNA
Rfam family: Bacterial small subunit ribosomal RNA
Source: RNAcentral
CAGGCCUAACACAUGCAAGUCGAACGCAUCCUUCGGGAUGAGUGGCAGACGGGUGAGUAACACGUGGGAACGUACCCUUUGGCUCGGAACAACUCCGGGAAACUGGAGCUAAUACCGGAUACGCCCUUUUGGGGAAAGGUUUAAUGCCGAAGGAUCGGCCCGCGUCUGAUUAGCUAGUUGGUGGGGUCGGCCUACCAAGGCGACGAUCCUUAGCUGGUCUGAGAGGAUGAUCAGCCACACUGGGACUGAGACACGGCCCAGACUCCUACGGGAGGCAGCAGUGGGGAAUAUUGGACAAUGGGCGCAAGCCUGAUCCAGCAAUGCCGCGUGAGUGAUGAAGGCCUUAGGGUUGUAAACCUCUUUUCCCCAGGGAAGAAGCGGAGAGAGAUUGGUACCGGGGAGAAAAAGCACCGGCUAAAUACGUGCCAUCAGCC